UACAGAGGUCCCAAGCGUUGUUCGGAUUCACUGGGCGUAAAGGGUGCGUAGGUGGUCGGGUAAGUCUGACGUGAAAUCUCCAAGCUCAACUUGGAAACUGCGUCGGAUACUAUUCGGCUAGAGGAAUGGAGGGGAGACUGGAAUACUUGGUGUAGCAGUGAAAUGCGUAGAUAUCAAGUGGAACACCAGUGGCGAAGGCGAGUCUCUGGACAUUUCCUGACGCUGAGGCACGAAAGCCAGGGGAGCAAACAGG
RNAcentral lists this ribosomal RNA (253 nucleotides) under uncultured bacterium. RNAcentral describes it as "partial 16S ribosomal RNA". It matches the Rfam family "Bacterial small subunit ribosomal RNA", at positions 524 to 776 of the family's 1533-position model. The record is from RNAcentral.